This is a long non-coding RNA of Phragmites australis (common reed), 1812 nucleotides long. RefSeq lists it as uncharacterized. The record is from RefSeq and is a predicted model, not a curated record. The transcript has 2 exons. Lineage: Eukaryota; Viridiplantae; Streptophyta; Magnoliopsida; Poales; Poaceae.
UUAGGAGGGAAAUGGGUAAAAUGAGUAUAGGUGCUUCACAUGUGCCAUUAUUACUGGGACUCUCAAGGAAAAGAUUUUUGGGUGAAAUAUGCAAUCGUGCCAAUCCAGUUGAGAGAGAUGUUGCUACUGUUGCAGCUGUGACAGCUGGGAUUUUGAACGGAGCUAACAUAGUAAGGGUCCAUAAUGUUGGAUAUGGUGCAGAUGCUGCAAAGGUUUGUGAUGCAUUGCGUGAGGGCAGAAGAUGAUGGGAAAACUGAACUACCUGAUCAAAUAGAUACCAAACUCCAGUUUUGUACAAGAAAAUGGUGAUGUAGGAUAGCUACUCUGCUGCUAAAUGGGAUUAUCAUAUUACACCAUGGGUGGAUUAUCAUUGUUAUAAUAAACCAGGGAUGUUGUUUUGUCUUGUGUCAUCUCCUUUCUAAAAUCUUCAUUGAAGCAUGGAUUGAACUCAGAUGACUUGGAAAAGAGUAACCAAGGAACAAGGUUGCAAAAGCUGCUAGUAAGUUGCAGAUAGUUAUCCUUUUGGUCCUAUCUUAGAUAAUUUUUCAGGAACAUUUUUUUUCCAAUUUAACAACAUCAGAAGGAUUUUGACAUUUCAGAAUUUCAAAUUGUCGACAAGUAUGAUUUGUUUGUAUCUUUUCUACUUCAAAUACAUAUAUUGGAUAGAUUGGAGUUAUACCAGCUUCCCUGCUUCUCCCUGUAACUUCAUCAUUUGGACCUUUGUAUACCCAAUGAGGAAACGUCAUGUAUUGCAAGUGCCGUAUGACAUGCAAAGUCUCAAGGCUUGAUCUAUGAUUUACCUUGGUUCUGAGGGUUUUAUCAUCUAUUUAUGAAACCUACUUGUUUACUGAUAAAGAAUUGUCAGCACGUCUCAUAUAGAUUUGUUUUCGUUCUGAACUGCUGUUGAUUGUAUUUUUUUCUUUAAAGAAACUCCGUUGGUAUUUGGUGCCUCCUAGUCUUUGUUGUCUUUGUCCACUGCUGAAAUUUAAGAACUGAAACUGCCGGAUGAUUGAACCAUCACUAAGAUGGCUGUUGUCCAUGAUAUCAACUCAGAUUCUGAUGACUUCUUUCCUCUGUCUUUUAAUUUGGCUAGUUAGUGGAUUUUUCUAUAAAAUAUAUACUACAUUCACCCAAUUUUAUGCAACACAUUUGGGGAAAUACAAAAAGGAAAAAAAGAACGUUAAAGGAUGCCUGAUGAUGAGGCCUUAACAUAGCAAGUGCCGUAUGAUUCCUCGGCAAACGCCGAAGGGAGUGAUAUGACCAAUUGUCUCUGAGGGUCAAAGGUUUUGUUUUCGUUCCCUGAAGUGCAGUACUCAUCAGGAUGAACUGUCGGAAUUGAGUCGUAAUGUACAUUCCAAAUUCUUCAGGCCAGACAUGGAGAAGUGAAUUCACAUCAGACAACAAAGGACGAAUGUGGAAGUUGAGAUGGAACCGGCAACCAGCAUCCAAGAAUCUGAUUGUUCCUAUCUGACUUGUGUCGCAGUUUUGAUGAAGGCUCGCAAACGAAAGGGACAUAAAUCCUGAAUCAUUCCCUGAAUGAACUCUAAGUCCUUUCACGCUUUUGAAAUUAUGUUUUGGUGAUUAAUGUUAACAUGAUCAAUGAGACUAACAAGAUUUGCUAGUAUGCAAAUAUUUAUUCUUAUGUAUGUAGAAGAUGAACUUAGGGUUAUAAACAUCAUCAAGGUGAAAGAAGAGUUUCAUGAGGAUAUAAAAACAUAUUAUUUAGGCAAGUGAUUGUGGUGUUGAGAGCAUCACUUGUGUAUAUAUAUUUGUUUUUUCUUACCAUACUAAAAAGAGGAUUUGAGUUUAAUA